Molecule: ribosomal RNA, 253 nt
Filed under: uncultured bacterium
Lineage: Bacteria
Description: partial 16S ribosomal RNA
Rfam family: Bacterial small subunit ribosomal RNA
Source: RNAcentral
UACGUAGGGGGCAAGCGUUGUCCGGAAUUAUUGGGCGUAAAGGGCUCGUAGGCGGCCAACUAAGUCAGACGUGAAAUCCCUCGGCUUAACCGGGGAACUGCGUCUGAUACUGGAUGGCUUGAGUUUGGGAGAGGGAUGCGGAAUUCCAGGUGUAGCGGUGAAAUGCGUAGAUAUCUGGAGGAACACCGGUGGCGAAGGCGGCAUCCUGGACCAACACUGACGCUGAUGAGCGAAAGCCAGGGGAGCAAACGGG